CAAAGGAGUUCUUCUUUCCACAUAGUCAUGUGUGACUUCUUCUGGCCAAGGGUGGAGAGCAACAGCGGAGAGCUUGAGGAUGUCGUCCGAUCAGGCAGCCGAAGCGGCAGCCAGUUGGAACCGGCGGCCACCGCGGAGGAGGAGAUGGGUUUCCCUUUGUCGAGAAGCCUCGGUGUUGAAGAUCCUAAUCUUGUUCACCUGCCUCUCGAGUUCUUGGAUGUUGGGGGAGAGCAAGAUAGCUUGAACAGGCCUUGUGAUGACUUGCUGAGGGUUCUACAGAUCUCUCCCGGAAGGCCGUCACAGCAGCCGCUGCCGGUGGUGGUCAUGGCUGGUGCUCCAGUGGAUCACGGCGGUGGACUACUUGAGAUCUCCUCUCCUAUGGCUCAAGGGAUCAAAAGAAGGUCAUACUUAUUCUCGAUCGACAUCAAUAUCUUAUGGAUCAUUAAUUGCUUCUUGUCAAGUUUAAUCUCUUCGAUCGAUCACAUAUACAUUUCAUAGUUGUUGAAGCUAAUUACUAGCUAGCUAGGUUUAAGCACAUUGAAAUGGAGGUAGUUAGGGUUACUUCCUUUCUUGCUUAAUUGAUGGAUCUCAUUUCUCUUUUUCAUCUCGAGUUUAUAAAUUUGUUGCCAAAUUAUAGCAUCCAAUAAUACUCUUUUAGUGAUCUAUAGAUAUGUUGUUCUAAGUUAAGUAUACUUUGUGUUUGUGUUCGUGUUUUUGUUUGUAUGCUUGUUCAGAAAAAGUCAGGCCAAGAGGGUGGUUUGCAUUCCGGCACCAAUAGUGGCAGCGACCGGGCGACCAAGCGGUGAGGUUGUUCCUUCUGAUCUAUGGGCUUGGAGAAAGUAUGGCCAAAAACCUAUCAAGGGUUCUCCUUAUCCAAGGGGUUACUACAGGUGUAGUAGUUCCAAAGGAUGCUCGGCAAGGAAGCAAGUAGAGCGCAGCCGAACGGACCCUAACAUGUUGGUCAUCACCUACACCUCUGAGCACAACCACCCUUGGCCGACUCAUCGCAAUGCCUUUGCAGGAUCAACUCGAUGCCAUGCCCCCAAGAACCACCCUAAACCAACCCUAGAAGAACCGGUCGAAUGCGUAAAGCAAGAAGCACUACACAUUGAGUCGACCGAACACAAGGCAACGAUGGACCGAGCGGCCGAAGAAGAAGUCGACUUCGACCUAACCACCAACAAUCAGACGGCCGAUGAAUUGGCAGGGUUCAAGGGGGUCGGCCUAACGAGCCGAACCUUAGACAUCGAAGGGAAUUCAAGGGGGGACAAGAGCUUAAUGGACAUGUUUGACUGGUCAGAAGCUCUGGACUUGAACUGAGCAAUAAGAAAUACUGAUCUGAACAAAAAGAAACAGAAUGAAGAUUAUGAGAUGAGAUGAGAUGAGAGAGGGUUAAAGGAGUUGAGAUAGGGAGGAAUUGAGGCCUAACAAUUGUUUUUGGGGUUUGGAAUAUUUUGGGAUGGGACAGAAAGCUGAGGAACAGAAACCCUAAACAGUUGCACCAAGUACAACAUGCAUGCUCUGUGGAUGUGACUAGGAAUGCCUUAAAAUUUGUGCGUGAUAAGGUUUCACACUUUUCUUCUCCUUCUUUUCUCUCUCUUACUUAUUCCUCUAUCUCUUCCUUCUCUUCAUCUUUCUCUUCUUCUUCCUCUUCUAUAUUUAUGUUAAAUUUAAGUCUAAAAUGACAACGGUAUUAUAGAGACGAGCUGCCUUCUAGAUGAUUCGUACAA
Zingiber officinale is the source of this 1730-nucleotide RNA transcript. It is a transcript of the gene named WRKY transcription factor 22-like, with no coding region annotated. The transcript has 3 exons. NCBI's taxonomy places the organism in Eukaryota, Viridiplantae, Streptophyta, Magnoliopsida, Zingiberales, Zingiberaceae. The record is from RefSeq and is a predicted model, not a curated record.